Molecule: ribosomal RNA, 253 nt
Filed under: uncultured bacterium
Lineage: Bacteria
Description: partial 16S ribosomal RNA
Rfam family: Bacterial small subunit ribosomal RNA
Source: RNAcentral
UACAGAGGAUGCAAGCGUUAUCCGGAAUGAUUGGGCGUAAAGCGUCUGUAGGUGGCUUUUUAAGUCCGCCGUCAAAUCCCAGGGCUCAACUCUGGACAGGCGGUGGAAACUACCAAGCUGGAGUACGGUAGGGGCAGAGGGAAUUUCCGGUGGAGCGGUGAAAUGCGUAGAUAUCUGGAGGAACACCGGUGGCGAAGGCGGCAUCCUGGACCGGUAUUGACACUGAGGCGCGAAAGCCAGGGGAGCAAACGGG